UACGGGGGGGGUAAGCGUUGUUCGGAAUUACUGGGCGUAAAGGGCUCGUAGGCGGCCAACUAAGUCAGACGUGAAAUCCCUCAGCUUAACUGGGGAACUGCGUCUGAUACUGGAUGGCUUGGAUUUGGGAGAGGGAUGCGGAAUUCCAGGUGUAGCGGUGAAAUGCGUAGAUAUCUGGAGGAACACCGGUGGCGAAGGCGGCAUCCUGGACCAACAUUGACGCUGAGGAGCGAAAUCCAGGGGAGCAAACGGG
This 253-nucleotide ribosomal RNA is filed under the name uncultured bacterium. Its description in RNAcentral is "partial 16S ribosomal RNA". It matches the Rfam family "Bacterial small subunit ribosomal RNA", at positions 524 to 776 of the family's 1533-position model. The record is from RNAcentral.